This 435-nucleotide ribosomal RNA is filed under the name uncultured bacterium. Its description in RNAcentral is "bacterial SSU rRNA". It matches the Rfam family "Bacterial small subunit ribosomal RNA", at positions 29 to 507 of the family's 1533-position model. The record is from RNAcentral.
AACGAACGCUGGCGGCAUGCCUAACACAUGCAAGUCGAACGAGACCUUCGGGUCUAGUGGCGCACGGGUGCGUAACGCGUGGGAAUCUGCCCUUGGGUUCGGAAUAACAGUGAGAAAUUACUGCUAAUACCGGAUGAUGACCGUAAGUCCAAAGAUUUAUCGCCCAAGGAUGAGCCCGCGUAAGAUUAGCUAGUUGGUGGGGUAAAGGCCUACCAAGGCGACGAUCUUUAGCUGGUCUGAGAGGAUGAUCAGCCACACUGGGACUGAGACACGGCCCAGACUCCUACGGGAGGCAGCAGUGGGGAAUAUUGGACAAUGGGCGAAAGCCUGAUCCAGCAAUGCCGCGUGAGUGAUGAAGGCCCUAGGGUUGUAAAGCUCUUUUACCCGGGACUGAUAAUGACAGUACCGGGAGAAUAAGCUCCGGCUAACUCCGUG